This 352-nucleotide long non-coding RNA is filed under the name Homo sapiens (human). RNAcentral's name for it is "HSALNT0057995". Lineage: Eukaryota; Metazoa; Chordata; Mammalia; Primates; Hominidae. The record is from RNAcentral.
AAGCUUCAAAUGAAAUAGGCUUUCGAUGUGACAGUGUUUACAGGAAACAUUAUGCUGUUACGAACUUCCCUUAGAAUCAACCCAUUUGUGAAACACCACAUUAAUAAGAGCAGUAUCUUUGGAGAUUGGAGAGUCCACCAAGGAUGCCCACUGGCUCCCUACAAAGUUUUUUAUGUGAGGACUCGGUCUCAGGUUCAGCAUCACAAUCUUAUUAAGGAUAGAGAAAUAACUUGAGAUUCUGAGAAGAAAAAUAAAUAUGUAAGGAUACAGUGUUCAUCACCCUAGGAAGAUGCAGCGCCAAGGUAUGAUCUUAGAAGCAGAGAGCAGUCCUCACCAGACACCAAAUCUGCCU